GAUGAACGCUGGCGGCGUGCUUAACACAUGCAAGUCGAACGAUGAAGCCCAGCUUGCUGGGUGGAUUAGUGGCGAACGGGUGAGUAACACGUGAGUAACCUGCCCUUAACUCUGGGAUAAGCCUGGGAAACUGGGUCUAAUACCGGAUAGGAGCGCCUACCGCAUGGUGGGUGUUGGAAAGAUUUAUCGGUUUUGGAUGGACUCGCGGCCUAUCAGCUUGUUGGUGAGGUAAUGGCUCACCAAGGCGACGACGGGUAGCCGGCCUGAGAGGGUGACCGGCCACACUAGGACUGAGACACGGCCCAGACUCCUACGGGAGGCAGCAGUGGGGAAUAUUGCACAAUGGGCGAAAGCCUGAUGCAGCGACGCCGCGUGAGGGAUGACGGCCUUCGGGUUGUAAACCUCUUUCAGUAGGGAAGAAGCGAAAGUGACGGUACCUGCAGAAGAAGCACCGGCUAACUACGUG
RNAcentral lists this ribosomal RNA (466 nucleotides) under uncultured bacterium. RNAcentral's name for it is "partial 16S ribosomal RNA". It matches the Rfam family "Bacterial small subunit ribosomal RNA", at positions 28 to 507 of the family's 1533-position model. The record is from RNAcentral.